Molecule: long non-coding RNA, 1391 nt
Organism: Cryptomeria japonica (Japanese cedar)
Lineage: Eukaryota; Viridiplantae; Streptophyta; Pinopsida; Cupressales; Cupressaceae
Exons: 3
Source: RefSeq, a predicted model, not a curated record
CAUAGGACUGGAAUGUGAUUAGUUCUGAAUUUUUUCGGAAUGGAAUGUGAACAGUUUUUGGGGAAAUGGAGAAACUUCUUGCAUUCCUGCAUUAGAAUGGAAUGUGAAAAGUUUUUCAUUGAAAUGGAAUUUGAUAUUUUUUCCGAAUGGAAGAGAAUGUGAAAGGUUUUUUAUUGUGAUUAUUUUUUUUGGUCUGGAAUGCGAAAGGGUUUCAGUUGUUUAUUUAAUGCGUGAUGAAUACAAUUUCUUUAUUUCAUGCGAUGAAUUUUUUUUUUGAGAAUGGAUGAAAGGAGUCUGAACAUGAAGAGGAGCAUGAUCCCUCCAAAGAAAAGGAGGUUCCUCAGAAUCGCAAGGGCUCUGAAUGGACCUUUGCCUAACACACAAUGAAUUAUCAGAAGACAGGCAAGAAAUCAAAUAGAAGAUCUGAUUUGCUGUUGCAAAUGAAGGAAACAUUUGAGGAACUUAAAAUGAAUAUCAACUUUUGCCUUCAAAAGUGCAUGUUAAGUUUGUUAGGUUAACUGCAAACGAGAUCCUUAUGCAUUUUCAAUGAGUUGAAAUGAAAUGCAAAAGAAAUUGCAUUUUCAGGUUCCAUUUUUUCCGUUUCUCCUUGGGUACUCUUGGGCCUUUUGGAAGAGGCAAUAAAGCUUUAUUGCUUUGUACACAAGAUAUUGGUGAUGGUGAUGGUGCUGAGGACUUAGUCUCUCGAGUGUAGUACACUCUCAGAAAAUGAAUUGUCCUUCAAUCUUCAGCAAUUCUGGCUUCAAAAACAAUGUGAAGUCUCUGUAUCCCACAAGACAUGAAUGGGCAUGGAUCUCAUACUCUGUUUUUAUCUGCACUAUACCUCAGAUAUUCUAUGUUCUGGCAAGAAAAGGCAAUUCCCAGGAAUAUGUACCUUGUGUAUAAAGCAAUAUAGCUCUGUUGCUUGCAAAACAGAAUCCAAAAAAAAUUAUCAUUUUGAUUAUGCAGAUUCCAGGAUUGGUAUAGAAGCAACCCUUGAAACAACAAUGGUUCCCAACAAAACAUGUUUUUUAUUUACCUCUUCCAAAGGCGUGAGAGUACCAAAGGACAAAUGCAAAUAUAUGGAACCUAGAAAUGCAAUUUGUUUUGGAAAUGCAUGAGGAACUUAUAUGCAGUACUGAGGCAAAAGGUGAUAUUCAAUUUUAAGUUCCUCAAAUAUUUCCUUCAUUUUCAGUAGCAAGUCAGAUCUUCUAUUUGACUUCUCGUCUAUGUUCUGAUAGUUCAUUGUAUGUGUGAGGCAAGGGCCCAUUCUCAUACUCCUAAUGUUCUGAAUCUCCUUAAUAAACAACCUGUAUUUUGGGGUGCUAAUGAUAAAGCUUGCUUUUUAAAUUAAAUAUUGAAACAAGCCAAGGAAAUGUUUAUCUCAUAAAUGA